Molecule: ribosomal RNA, 369 nt
Filed under: uncultured organism
Description: bacterial SSU rRNA
Rfam family: Bacterial small subunit ribosomal RNA
Source: RNAcentral
CGGAGGGUGCUAAGCGUUAUCCGGAUUCACUGGGUUUAAAGGGUGCGUAGGCGGGUAUGUAAGUCAGCGGUGAAAUCCCCGAGCUUAACUUGGGAACUGCCGUUGAUACUAUAUAUCUUGAAUGUCGUGGAGGUUAGCGGAAUAUGUCAUGUAGCGGUAAAAUGCUUAGAUAUGACAUAGAACACCCAUUGCGAAGGCAGCUAACUACGCGAAUAUUGACGCUGAGGCACGAAAGCGUGGGGAUCAAACAGGAUUAGAUACCCUGGUAGUCCACGCCCUAAACGAUGAUUACUCGACAUUGGCGAUACACUGUCAGUGUCUGAGCGAAAGCAUUAAGUAAUCCACCUGGGAAGUACGACCGCAAGGUUG